AUGGGGCGUCCGUGCGUCGGCGCUCUCCUGGCGUGCGCCGCCGUUGCAGCUUCUUGCUGCGGCUGCUUCCAGUUCCAGGGUGCUGCUGCGGCGGCGACCCCGUCGUUCGGGGACAACUUCGACAUCACCGGCGCCGAGGACCACGUCAAGACCUCCCCCGACGGCCAGACCUGGUACCUCUCCCUCGACAACAAGACGGGCGUUGGGUUCCAGACGAAGCAGAAGUACCUGUUCGGGUGGUUCAGCAUGAAGCUCAAGCUCGUCGGGAACGACUCCGCCGGCGUCGUCACCGCCUACUACAUGUGCUCGGACCUGGACGCGGCGCCGGAGCGCGACGAGCUGGACUUCGAGUUCCUGGGCAACCGCACCGGCGAGCCGUACAUCAUCCAGACGAACGUGUACCGCAGCGGCGUAGGCGGGCGGGAGAUGCGGCACUCGCUGUGGUUCGACCCCACCGCCGAGUUCCACAGCUACUCCAUCCUCUGGAACCCCAAGCAGAUCGUGUUUUUCGUGGACAAGGUGCCGAUCAGGGAGUACCGCAACUCGGACAAGCCCAACAGGUUCUUCCCGAUCAUGAAGCCCAUGUACGUCUUCUCCAGCAUCUGGAACGCCGACGACUGGGCCACGCGCGGGGGGCUGGAGAAGACGGACUGGACCAAGGGGCCCUUCGUCUCCUCCUACAGCGACUUCACCGCCGACGCCUGCGCCUGGGCCACCGGCCCGGCCCCGCCGGCGUGCGCGGCCGCCACGGGGAACAGCUGGUGGGACCAGCCGCCGGCGUGGGCGCUCGACGACGGCCAGCGCCGGGACUCGGGCUGGGUGGCCAGGAACCUCGUGAUAUACGACUACUGCGACGACCGCAAGAGGUUCCCGGCCGUGCCGGAGGAGUGCGCGCUCAGGACCAAGACUAGCUAG
Molecule: ribosomal RNA, 915 nt
Filed under: Triticum aestivum (bread wheat)
Lineage: Eukaryota; Viridiplantae; Streptophyta; Magnoliopsida; Poales; Poaceae
Description: partial small subunit ribosomal RNA
Source: RNAcentral